GACGAACGCUGGCGGCGUGCUUAACACAUGCAAGUCGAACGGAAAGGCCCUGCUUGCAGGGUACUCGAGUGGCGAACGGGUGAGUAACACGUGGGUGAUCUGCCCUGCACUUCGGGAUAAGCCUGUGAAACUGGGUCUAAUACCGGAUAGGAGCCAUUUUUAGUGUGAUGGUUGGAAAGUUUUUUCGGUGUAGGAUGAGCUCGCGGCCUAUCAGCUUGUUGGUGGGGUAAUGGCCUACCAAGGCGGCGACGGGUAGCCGGCCUGAGAGGGUGGACGGCCACAUUGGGACUGGGAUACGGCCCAGACUCCUACGGGAGGCAGCAGUGGGGAGUAUUGCACAAUGGGCGCAAGCCUGAUGCAGCGACGCCGCGUGGGGGAUGACGGCCUUCGGGUUGUAAACUCCUUUCGCUAGGGACGAAGCUUUUUGUGACGGUACCUAGAUAAGAAGCACCGGCUAACUACGUG
This 465-nucleotide ribosomal RNA is filed under the name uncultured bacterium. RNAcentral describes it as "partial 16S ribosomal RNA". It matches the Rfam family "Bacterial small subunit ribosomal RNA", at positions 28 to 507 of the family's 1533-position model. The record is from RNAcentral.